CUUGAGAGUGUUGGAAAUAUCAUCUAGUUUUGUUUAUCUCGACUUAACUAACUGUUGCCACGUUCCUGCCAGUCUAAAUUUAGAUGUAAACCAGCCCGGUUUUCAUUCUCGGCGGUGUCAAAUACGACAGGAAACACAUAGCUUCAGUGGAAUUUGAAAAGGGAAGUAGUAGGAUGAUGUCAACAGUGAUUAACUUGACCCUACAAGGCUGACAACUAGCAAGAUUAAAGGUCCACACCAUAGAAGGAAGUGAGACAGCUCGGUAAAAGGAGAAGUCCCAUUCAGAGUCAGACAUCGAUGAAUAAAGACUUCAGAGAAUUACGAAGUUGAAACCACAACAUGGAAGACACCUGGGGCUGACAAGGGAGUCUUUGGAGAUGCGCUUCCUGGGAGGACUAUGUGCCCAGGAACACCUAGAGUAGUGUUUUUGCUUUGUUUAAGAGUGACUUGUAUGAGAGAAAAAUCUAUUUUCCAUAAAAAUAAAAAAAGAAUGACUGAAACUC
Molecule: long non-coding RNA, 503 nt
Organism: Mastomys coucha (southern multimammate mouse)
Lineage: Eukaryota; Metazoa; Chordata; Mammalia; Rodentia; Muridae
Exons: 2
Source: RefSeq, a predicted model, not a curated record